This 253-nucleotide ribosomal RNA is filed under the name uncultured bacterium. RNAcentral describes it as "partial 16S ribosomal RNA". It matches the Rfam family "Bacterial small subunit ribosomal RNA", at positions 524 to 776 of the family's 1533-position model. The record is from RNAcentral.
UACGUAGGGUGCGAGCGUUGUCCGGAAUUAUUGGGCGUAAAGAGCUCGUAGGCGGCUUGUCGCGUCGGUUGUGAAAGCCCGGGGCUUAACCCCGGGUCUGCAGUCGAUACGGGCAGGCUAGAGUUCGGUAGGGGAGACUGGAAUUCCUGGUGUAGCGGUGAAAUGCGCAGAUAUCAGGAGGAACACCGGUGGCGAAGGCGGGUCUCUGGGCAAUAACUGACGCUGAGGAGCGAAAGCGUGGGGAGCGAACAGG